UAUAGCAGUAUCAAUCUCUGUUAGGCUGUAAAAAUGCAAAGACUUCAAAAUGUGUACUGAAGAAAGGAAAAUACUCUAAGAAUUUAUGUAAGCUCUAAAAAGUUCUUACAUGAUUCAGCUCUUCUAUUAGUUGUUGAAGUGUGUUUUUUCUGAAAUUUGUGCAGGUGGUGCAGUCAGAAAUGCAUUCCAAAAACUAAAGAUGCACAGUAAUGCCAUACAGCCUGAAUUUGAAAAAAAAGUCUCUGUGACAGCAUCCGAAUUGCACUUUUACCUGUAAAAGGUUGUACCAUCACAACAAGAGCACAACCUCCAAAGGACAGACCAGACAGCUGUUUUCCUGCGAGGUGCAUGAGGUGUCCAUAGGACCACUUGGUUCUAGCUCUAAGGCUUCCAAAGGGAAAUAAUACCAAGUGUUGCGGAAAA
Molecule: long non-coding RNA, 423 nt
Filed under: Phasianus colchicus (ring-necked pheasant)
Lineage: Eukaryota; Metazoa; Chordata; Aves; Galliformes; Phasianidae
Description: lncRNA (ENSPCLG00000016070.1)
Source: RNAcentral